GGGGAAUAUUGGGCAAUGGGCGGAAGCCUGACCCAGCGACGCCGCGUAGGGGAAGAAGUCUUUCGGGAUGUAAACCCUUGUUGUACGGGACGAAGGAAGUGACGGUACCGUACGAGGAAGCCCCGGCAAACUACGUGCCAGCAGCCGCGGUAAUACGUAGGGGGCGAGCGUUGUCCGGAAUCACUGGGCGUAAAGCGCACGUAGGCGGGCUGUCAAGUCGGCCGUGAAAGGCAUGGGCUCAACCUGUGCAUGUCGGUCGAUACUGGCGGGCUGGAGGAUGGGGGAAGGAACUGGAAAUCCCGGUGGUGCGGUGGAAUGCGUAAGUAACGGGAAGAAAACCCGUGGCGAAGGCGGGUUCCUGGCCCAUGACUGACGGUGAGGGUCGAAAGCCGGGGGAGUGAACGG
This 405-nucleotide ribosomal RNA is filed under the name uncultured bacterium. RNAcentral describes it as "bacterial SSU rRNA". It matches the Rfam family "Bacterial small subunit ribosomal RNA", at positions 356 to 775 of the family's 1533-position model. The record is from RNAcentral.